This 301-nucleotide ribosomal RNA is filed under the name uncultured bacterium. RNAcentral's name for it is "partial 16S ribosomal RNA". It matches the Rfam family "Bacterial small subunit ribosomal RNA", at positions 509 to 807 of the family's 1533-position model. The record is from RNAcentral.
CAGUAGCCACGGUAAUACAAAGGGUGCAAGCGUUACUCGGAAUUACUGGGCGUAAAGCGUGCGUAGGUGGUGGUUUAAGUCCGUUGUGAAAGCCCUGGGCUCAACCUGGGAAUUGCAGUGGAUACUGGGUCACUAGAGUGUGGUAGAGGAUAGUGGAAUUUCCGGUGUAGCAGUGAAAUGCGUAGAGAUCGGAAGGAACAUCUGUGGCGAAGGCGACUAUCUGGGCCAACACUGACACUGAGGCACGAAAGCGUGGGGAGCAAACAGGAUUAGAUACCCCCGUAGUCCCUGUCUCUUAUAC